RNAcentral lists this ribosomal RNA (387 nucleotides) under uncultured bacterium. Its description in RNAcentral is "bacterial SSU rRNA". It matches the Rfam family "Bacterial small subunit ribosomal RNA", at positions 28 to 417 of the family's 1533-position model. The record is from RNAcentral.
GACGAACGCUGGCGGCGUGCUUAACACAUGCAAGUCGAGCGGUAAGGCCCUUUCGGGGGUACACGAGCGGCGAACGGGUGAGUAACACGUGGGUGACCUGCCCUUAGCUCUGGGAUAAGCUUGGGAAACUGGGUCUAAUACCGGAUAUGACUCCAUGACGCAUGUUGUGGGGUGGAAAGCCUUGUGCGGCUAGGGAUGGGCCCGCGGCCUAUCAGCUUGUUGGUGGGGUGAUGGCCUACCAAGGCGACGACGGGUAGCCGGCCUGAGAGGGCGACCGGCCACACUGGGACUGAGACACGGCCCAGACUCCUACGGGAGGCAGCAGUGGGGAAUCUUGCGCAAUGGGCGAAAGCCUGACGCAGCGACGCCGCGUGGGGAUGACGGCCU